Molecule: unclassified non-coding RNA, 355 nt
Filed under: Hevea brasiliensis (rubber tree)
Lineage: Eukaryota; Viridiplantae; Streptophyta; Magnoliopsida; Malpighiales; Euphorbiaceae
Source: RNAcentral
AAAGCAAGUUAUCUGGGAUAUUUAAGGAUUACUUUAUGACAAAAAUAAAAGUUAAUUGAUAUGCUAUCGAGGGUACUAAGGUAACAGAUCCUUUUGGUGGUAAUGAAAUGGCAAAGACUAAAGAAGUUAUGAAUAGUGAAACGUUUAAAAUAAGAGUCAGACGGCAUAAAAACAGUGAAAUAAUGAUAUUAAAGGUAAAAUAAAGGGUUCGAAAGAUUUGACAGGGUUUCAUGCGGAUUUGGAACCAAAGAUUCAAUCGGAAUGAAUGGAGGGGACAUUUGGGAUAUUUUAAAGCUGCUUUUGACCGCAGGAAAACUUAUUAGUUGUGUUUUCCGAGCCACUAGGAUCAUUUUCG